RNAcentral lists this long non-coding RNA (1053 nucleotides) under Callithrix jacchus (white-tufted-ear marmoset). RNAcentral's name for it is "lncRNA (ENSCJAG00000072877.1)". Lineage: Eukaryota; Metazoa; Chordata; Mammalia; Primates; Cebidae. The record is from RNAcentral.
AUGCAUUUAAAUGGGAUUUCAGAGCCACAGGGAAAAGGAACAGGAUUCAGGGAGGAAGAAGGGCCCCUGCAGUCUGCACCCCAUCUCUGUUCCCCUGCCCCAGAGGCCUGUCCCUGUGCCCCACCGAGACCUCAAGGAGCUCCUCCGGGAAGACUUCCUCUCCACCAUGGCGCACCCAGAUGCUUCACCUCUCGCAAAACUGCAAGAUGUGUGCAGACCCGCAUGCUGGCAGUUCACUCUGCACACAGUUGCUCACACACGCCUGCACACAUGCAUGUGCACAGCCCUGGAAUGGUGCGUUGCAACACACUUGUCGCUCACAAAAGGAACAUGCACACACCCUGCACCUGCACACACUUCCUUACACACACGCCUGCCAGCACACAUGCCACAUGUGCACACAGAUGGAACACACUGUUCCCACACUCACACACCACUCACACCCACACACCUUCCACUCGCACUCACCACAAGCACACACGCAUACAUAUGUGCUGCAUGCUCAGCCACCCAUGUGUCCUCCAGCCCGUUCUCGAGAUGCAGCUGCUCACCUGCAGGACACACUACUUACUCUCUCCUAGAAGCUGGCCCUGGCUGCAGCUGUUCCUCCCCACUGCCAAACUGCCUGCCCACUAUGGCGAGGUGGAGGCCUGGGUUGGGGCCUGCUCCCAGGGUACAACCUCCGCUCAGGGGUCCUCAAGCCGGGAGACCAGCCAGUGUGGAGUCCAGGCUGCAUGCAGCCUCCUCCUCAGGUCCCCAUGCUGCUGCUGGGGGCUCCCACUGCUGCCCAUGCAUGUGUGUGCCUGUCCCCGGAGGGCACCUGGAGACCGCCUGGCUGGGCAGCCCUGCCCUCGGGGGCCCCUUCUGUGCAAAGCAGCCCUCCUCACUCUGGCCUUGACCUGCCCCAGGAUGUGCCUGGGGCUCAGUGCCGCAGGGCAGGGACAGAGGCCCAGGAGCUUUAGGAUAGGGAGCAUUGUUAAGGCCUGCAGGUGGCUUGGGGUGCGGAGCCCUAGAGUAGGGCAGGUGCAGUGGGGCCUGGAACCCAAGGGCUGA